AGAGUUUGAUCCUGGCUCAGGAUUAACGCUAGCGGCAGGCCUAAUACAUGCAAGUCGCACGGGAUUCAGGGUAGCAAUAUCUUGAUGAGAGUGGCGCACGGGUGCGCAACACGUAUGCAACCUACCUCUUACUGGGGAAUAGCCCACCGAAAGGUGGAUUAAUACCGCAUAAUAUUAUUGAGUAGCAUUACUUGAUAAUUAAACCUACGGGGGUAAGAGAUGGGCAUGCGCCCGAUUAGCUAGUUGGCGGGGUAAUGGCCCACCAAGGCAACGAUCGGUAGGGGGUCUGAGAGGAUGAUCCCCCACACUGGUACUGAGACACGGACCAGACUCCUACGGGAGGCAGCAGUAAGGAAUAUUGGACAAUGGUCGCAAGACUGAUCCAGCCAUGCCGCGUGCAGGAUUAAGGCCCUAUGGGUCGUAAACUGCUUUUAUACGGGACAAAACCCCUCUACGUGUAGAGGGCUGAUGGUACUGUAAGAAUAAGGGUCGGCUAACUUCGUGCCAGCAGCCGCGGUAAUACGAAGGACCCGAGCGUUAUCCGGAUUUAUUGGGUUUAAAGGGUGCGUAGGCGGAUUUAUAAGUCAGUGGUGAAAGCCUGUAGCUUAACUAUAGAAUUGCCAUUGAUACUGUAAGUCUUGAGUAUAGUUGAGGUGGGCGGAAUGUGCAGUGUAGCGGUGAAAUGCUUAGAUAUUGCACAGAACACCAAUUGCGAAGGCAGCUCGCUAAACUAUAACUGACGCUGAGGCACGAAAGUGUGGGUAGCAAACAGGAUUAGAUACCCUGGUAGUCCACACCCUAAACGAUGAUAACUCGCUGUUGGCGAUACACAGUCAGCGGCUAAGCGAAAGCAUUAAGUUAUCCACCUGGGAAGUACGACCGCAAGGUUGAAACUCAAAGGAAUUGACGGGGGCCCGCACAAGCGGAGGAGCAUGUGGUUUAAUUCGAUGAUACGCGAGGAACCUUACCUGGGCUUGAAAGUUAGUGAAUGACGUAGAAACAUGUCAGCUCGAAAGAGCACGAAACUAGGUGCUGCAUGGCUGUCGUCAGCUCGUGCCGUGAGGUGUUGGGUUAAGUCCCGCAACGAGCGCAACCCCUAUCUUUAGUUGCCAACAGGUAAUGCUGGGGACUCUAAAGAGACUGCCCGCGCAAGCGGUGAGGAAGGUGGGGAUGACGUCAAGUCAUCACGGCCCUUACGUCCAGGGCUACACACGUGCUACAAUGGCCGAUACAACGGGCAGCCACGUGGUAACAUGGAGCUAAUCCCAAAAAAGUCGGUCUCAGUUCGGAUUGAGGUCUGCAACUCGACCUCAUGAAGCUGGAUUCGCUAGUAAUCGCGUAUCAGCAAUGACGCGGUGAAUACGUUCCCGGGCCUUGUACACACCGCCCGUCAAGCCAUGGAAGUUGGGAGUACCUGAAGUCGAUCACCGCAAGGAGUCGCCUAAGGUAAAAUCAAUGACUGGGGCUAAGUCGUAACAAGGUA
Molecule: ribosomal RNA, 1483 nt
Filed under: metagenome
Description: bacterial SSU rRNA
Rfam family: Bacterial small subunit ribosomal RNA
Source: RNAcentral